CCUACGGGAGGCAGCAGUGAGGAAUAUUGGUCAAUGGGCGCGAGCCUGAACCAGCCAAGUAGCGUGAAGGAGGACUGCCCUACGGGUUGUAAACCUCUUUUAUAAAGGAAUAAAGUGAGUCACGUGUGCCUUUUUUUAUGUACUUUAUGAAUAAGGAUCGGCUAACUCCGUGCCAGCAGCCGCGGUUAUACGGAGGGUCCGAGCGUUUUCCGGAUUUUUUGGGUUUAAAGGGAGCGUAGAUGGGUUGUUAAGUCAGUUGUGAAAGUUUGCGGCUCAACCGUAAAAUUGCAAUUGAUACUGGCAGCCUUGAGUACAGUUGAGGUAGGCGGAAUGCGUGGUGUAGCGGUGAAAUGCUUAGAUAUCACGAAGAACUCCGAUUGCGAAGGCAGCUUACUAAACUGCCACUGACAUUGAUGCUCGAAAGUGUGGGUAUCAAACAGGAUUAGAGACCCUGGUAGUC
RNAcentral lists this ribosomal RNA (460 nucleotides) under uncultured bacterium. Its description in RNAcentral is "partial 16S ribosomal RNA". It matches the Rfam family "Bacterial small subunit ribosomal RNA", at positions 338 to 795 of the family's 1533-position model. The record is from RNAcentral.